This 334-nucleotide long non-coding RNA is filed under the name Androctonus crassicauda. The record is from RNAcentral. Lineage: Eukaryota; Metazoa; Arthropoda; Arachnida; Scorpiones; Buthidae.
UUCCACCUGGCAAGGGCCUCCAGUAAGUGAAGUACUCCCACCCUCGGAGUAAGAACUCUUCUUCCUCCUGUCCGACCGAGGCAGGGACCGCAAAGGACCUACAGACUCCAUCUCCUCUGUCAGCUGCAGGGCAACCUUGGGGUGCUGUCCUGACCAAGGCUGUCUCUAACCCUCCUCUCCUACCCUGUGAUAAAACUGCUAACUUGACCUGGCCGUUUGCAAGAUGCUUUGUAAAAAGGAGAAUGCCACGGAGCCGUUGGUUGUUGAGAAGAAACAAAGAUUGUCUGUUGCGAAGAUAAACCUCUAGGAGGAACUAGAAGGAAUGUACAUGAAG